GGGCGAUUAGCUCAGUUGGGAGAGCACCUCCCUUACAAGGAGGGGGUCACUGGUUCGAGCCCAGUAUCGCCCACCA
This 76-nucleotide transfer RNA is filed under the name Photobacterium phosphoreum. Its description in RNAcentral is "tRNA-Val". It matches the Rfam family "tRNA". Rfam says of the family: Transfer RNA (tRNA) molecules are approximately 80 nucleotides in length. Their secondary structure includes four short double-helical elements and three loops (D, anti-codon, and T loops). Further hydrogen bonds mediate the characteristic L-shaped molecular structure. tRNAs have two regions of fundamental functional importance: the anti-codon, which is responsible for specific mRNA codon recognition, and the 3' end, to which the tRNAs corresponding amino acid is attached (by aminoacyl-tRNA synthetases). tRNAs cope with the degeneracy of the genetic code in two manners: having more than one tRNA (with a specific anti-codon) for a particular amino acid; and 'wobble' base-pairing, i.e. permitting non-standard base-pairing at the 3rd anti-codon position. The record is from RNAcentral. RNAcentral also lists the same sequence under 13 other names. Lineage: Bacteria; Pseudomonadati; Pseudomonadota; Gammaproteobacteria; Vibrionales; Vibrionaceae.